UACGGCGGCGGGACAGUUCGCAAGAACUGCCUGAGGAAAGUCCGGGCUUCACAGAGGCAUAGCAACUGCUAACGGCAGCCGGGGGUGACCCCAGGGAUAGUGCAACAGAAAGAAACCGCCGUACCUUGUGUGCGGUAAGGAUGGAAAGGCGAGGUAAGAGCUCACCAGCGCACUGGCGACUUUGCGGCUAUGUAAACCCUGCUUGAAGCAACAUCCGUAUGGGACAUAAUGCGGAGCCUCGCGCGUCCCGGUGAUGGCGUGAGCCUUGCGGCGACGCAAGGCCAAGAUAGAUCGUCGUUUGAUACAGAACCCGGCUUACGGUCCAGUC
This 328-nucleotide RNase P RNA is filed under the name uncultured Gemmiger sp. RNAcentral describes it as "Bacterial RNase P class A". It matches the Rfam family "Bacterial RNase P class A". From Rfam's summary of the family: Ribonuclease P (RNase P) is a ubiquitous endoribonuclease, found in archaea, bacteria and eukarya as well as chloroplasts and mitochondria. Its best characterised activity is the generation of mature 5'-ends of tRNAs by cleaving the 5'-leader elements of precursor-tRNAs. The record is from RNAcentral. Lineage: Bacteria; Bacillati; Bacillota; Clostridia; Eubacteriales; Oscillospiraceae.